Molecule: ribosomal RNA, 253 nt
Filed under: uncultured bacterium
Lineage: Bacteria
Description: partial 16S ribosomal RNA
Rfam family: Bacterial small subunit ribosomal RNA
Source: RNAcentral
UACGUAGGGUGCGAGCGUUGCCCGGAAUUAUUGGGCGUAAAGGGCGCGUAGGCGGCCUGGCAAGUGGAAGGUGAAAUCCCUCGGCUUAACCGAGGAACUGCCCUCCAAACUGCUUGGCUUGAGUCCGGGAGAGGUGAGUGGAAUUCCCAGUGUAGCGGUGAAAUGCGUAGAUAUUGGGAGGAACACCAGUGGCGAAGGCGGCUUACUGGACCGGUUCUGACGCUGAGGCGCGAAAGCGUGGGGAGCAAACGGG